CAACUUUCUCCUGGAAUUUCCCCAAAGCCACUGUUGGUUGACUAGGUGAGGCCCCCUCCUGGCCUGGGACUCAGGAUCCCGCCUGGGGGGUGACAGCUACUCCGGAAGAGGAGGGCGGCAGGAGAGCCCGGCCCCAGCUUCCUCCUGGUGGGGCACAGGAUGCUGGGGGAGGAUUUCGUGGGCCUCAGGAGAAGCAGCUCCUUGCCAGCGCACCGGAGGGGACCUGACGCUAGCAGGCACCUCCCACAUCGUGUCCUCUCCAGGAGCCAUGAGACACAUCCAUCCCUUCUUGCUGGCCGUCCUGCUGUGCUCGGAGUGUGGAAAUCGGGUGAAGUACCAGCAGAAGGGGUGUGCCCCCUCCUGUGAGGAAGUCUCCCGCAUACUGCAGCAGCUUUCCCAGAGCAGCGGCCCCGGCAAUCUGGGCCUGCUGGGCCUAACGAAGCUUGAAGUGCAGGGUUUGAGGUGCUGUGAAAGGGACCUCUGUAAUGGGGGCACACUGCCCCUGGGCCCUGGCGGGGGGCUCCUGCUCAGCCUAGGGCUCAUCUUCCUCUGGGCCCUGCUGUGAGCAGCCCUGACUCCAGCACAGAAAGCAGGGCGUCGUCCUGAACAGAGUCACGCAGCAGGCACGUGAAGCAAGCUCGCUGUCCCACCCUUGCACACGCACACGCGCACACACACACACACACACACA
Molecule: long non-coding RNA, 691 nt
Filed under: Ursus maritimus (polar bear)
Lineage: Eukaryota; Metazoa; Chordata; Mammalia; Carnivora; Ursidae
Description: lncRNA (ENSUMAG00000024962.1)
Source: RNAcentral